UAAAAAUCUCCGGCGUUACAUAAACCUAAAAAGUAUUAAAAAAAUAUCAAUAACUUGAUAAGUACAAAAAUACUCUUUAGCUAUAAAUCCAAUCUAUUCUUCCAUAAUCCAAAAUGUGCGGACCUUGCGGUGGAUGUUGCGGCGGCCCCUGCUGCGGCCCAUGCUGCCCUUGCAUAACCAUCUACACGUGCUGUACAAAGAUUUGUUAACCGUGGGCAUUAAAGGGUGAAUCGUCGCCGCCAGUCUCAUGGAGGUGCUUCGACCCCCUUGUGUUCCGUCUAAUCGAUGCCGUUUUGUCUAAAUAAAUUACAAAAUAUGUAA
Long non-coding RNA from Colias croceus (clouded yellow), 321 nucleotides. RefSeq lists it as uncharacterized. The record is from RefSeq and is a predicted model, not a curated record. The transcript is spliced from 2 exons. NCBI's taxonomy places the organism in Eukaryota, Metazoa, Arthropoda, Insecta, Lepidoptera, Pieridae.